CCACAAUGUUCUAUCAUACAAGACAUAUCCGGUUUUUAUCGUGUUAUCUUUUUUAUGUGACUUAAUCAACAAUAAUCCUAGACAGCUCCAUAAAAUUGUCGGAGCAACCAAGAGGAAUGUGGAAAUCGCAUGAAUGAUGGGAUGAGUUCAUUAACCAAGCUUGUCCUAUUGCGUUCUAAAAAUCCUCCACACACUUGCAGUCUGAAAUGGCUGCAGAUAAGGCUUCUUGCUGAUGUGAAACUUCACCACUGCCCUCUGCUGUUGAGCAAGCUGCACUGCAGUUGAGCCAACCACAAAAAUGGCAGUGGACACAGACAAAGCUUUCCCUGCCGAGGUCCCUCGGCCAUCUGGCCUGUGGCUGGGAGCUCACUCACCAGCCGACCUGCCUGCUUAUCUUUAGAGCGGCUGUGGUGAGGUGCUGAGUGAGCCAUUUGGCCUGGCCGAUAUUUAAUCGAGGGCAGAUGAAUGGAUAUCAGGGUCAAUCCAGAAAACACCUCAGGAUGAUCAUUUUCACCUGCCCUCCUGCACAAGGGGUCAGAGCAGAUGGUACAGACUCAGUGCCUUGCUAAAGGACACUUCAGCAAGAUAUCUUAAAACCUGGGCAAACCAAACCAAAACAACUAUCUGCACGGCUAUACACCACCACAG
Molecule: long non-coding RNA, 648 nt
Organism: Micropterus dolomieu (smallmouth bass)
Lineage: Eukaryota; Metazoa; Chordata; Actinopteri; Centrarchiformes; Centrarchidae
Exons: 5
Source: RefSeq, a predicted model, not a curated record